This 62-nucleotide ribosomal RNA is filed under the name Acinetobacter baumannii. Its description in RNAcentral is "partial 16S ribosomal RNA". Lineage: Bacteria; Pseudomonadati; Pseudomonadota; Gammaproteobacteria; Moraxellales; Moraxellaceae. RNAcentral also lists the same sequence under 1 other name. The record is from RNAcentral.
UUUAACUGAAGAGUUUGAUCAUGGCUCAGAUUGAACGCUGGCGGCAGGCUUAACACAUGCAA